AGCACGUGUGUCACUCAUGCAUGCAUGACCAAACUUAAAACACGCGCGUAAACAUCAAAGUGGUAAACUAGUGAUGGGAAUGCAGUACUGUUUUAACAAACUCAAAUUAAUUACAGUUGAUAAUAUACUUAUGUUGUAUGAUACCAAGGCUGUAAACGCAAUUGGGAUAGGUGGCCGUAGCGUCUACUAAAGGGCCCUGAAUAAUUCAUCGGCAUAUUUAGCAGAAGUCCCGGCGACCGUAGCGCGGCUCCUAUUACCGGCAUCGCCACACGUUGUAUUGGACUUAAGCUGAGAGUAAAAGAUGAGUCAGUGAUAUCUUUGUGCCAGUGAUAAUGUAAUGUGAAUUAUAAAUGUGACGAUGUGGCGAGUUAAUGGUGAGACGAUGAAGCCAGUGUUAAUAAAGGCAGUGUUUCUUGUGAUGACUGCUGUGUUUGUGUCCGGGACCGGAGAGUGGA
Molecule: long non-coding RNA, 455 nt
Organism: Pararge aegeria (speckled wood butterfly)
Lineage: Eukaryota; Metazoa; Arthropoda; Insecta; Lepidoptera; Nymphalidae
Exons: 3
Source: RefSeq, a predicted model, not a curated record